CCUAGGGGAGGCAGCAGUAGGGAAUAUUGGGCAAUGGGCGCAACCCUGAUCCAGCGAUGCCGCGUAUGUGAAGAAGGCCUGCGGGUUGUAAAGCAUUUUUGAUGGGGAAGAAGUGUGUUUAAUGAAUAGUUAGAUACAUUGACGGUACCCAUAGAAUAAGUACCGGCAAACUCUGUGCCAGCAGCCGCGG
Molecule: ribosomal RNA, 190 nt
Filed under: uncultured bacterium
Lineage: Bacteria
Description: partial 16S ribosomal RNA
Rfam family: Bacterial small subunit ribosomal RNA
Source: RNAcentral